CAGCAGCUCAGAUCUAAAUCCUAGAUAUGCAGAUUGGUUUCCAGCACAGCCUGUGCUGUGUAUAAAUCCUGGAUCAAACAGGCUAAUCACUGUUAAUCACUGCUAAUCAGCAUGAUGGGGCUUGUAGACCUUUGCAGUCCUAUUUACCGGCUAGGGGGGACAAACUGCCGGUUCAGUGGUCAACCCAAGAACCUGAAAAGCAACAGAACAACCUGUACCUUAGAUCUACGGUGAUGAAAGCCUGAGCUACGAUCCUGGAUCACAAGGACACCAGGUGUACCCAGACUGGAACAACAGUGCUGUUACAGUCGCCUGCCCCAGGUGCAGUGUGGGAAACCUGCUGCUUUGAAGGAUGCCUUAUUCUGGAUUUGGGGAGUCUAAAGCAGCUAGGCCAAGCCAGCUCUCACCUGGUCGGUCUGAUUUACCCCUUGGAGCAAUCAGUGGAUCAGUUCCUGUUGGCUGGCUGUACAGGGAAAGGGCUAAGGCCAGCAGCCGUCCGGAGACGAAGCUGGACGACCUUGCAUCCUCUGCUCUGCUGCUUGUCACAACAGAUGAGAGACGCGGAAGGGAGGGAUGUGGCUGGAUGACAUAACAGAACACCAGAGCUUAAGAGAGAGUGUGUUAGAGAGAAGAAAUAAACUGUGUAAGCUGCCAGCA
RNAcentral lists this long non-coding RNA (657 nucleotides) under Struthio camelus australis. RNAcentral's name for it is "lncRNA (ENSSCUG00000004879.1)". Lineage: Eukaryota; Metazoa; Chordata; Aves; Struthioniformes; Struthionidae. The record is from RNAcentral.